UGAGGGCGGCCGCCCCUAGGGCCACCACCCCCUCGGUGAUGGGCAUGGCCCACCACAGGGCCUGCCCUCCGAAGAGGGUGGGCAGGGCCAGGAUGAGCCCUCCGCUGACCACCAGCCCCCGGGCCACCGACACCCCGAAGGCGCUCCCCGGCCGGAGCACUGCCUGGAAGUAAUAGGUGGAAAAGACGUUGAAGGGCAGCAGCAGGAAGGACAGCCCAUACGUCCGCAAAAUCCCCGGGGCGAUGGCCAGCACCUGGUCCGUGGGAACCAUGAACAAGGUGAUCAGGGGCUGGGGGAAGAGGAGAAGGACCACCGUCCACCCCACGCCGAAGGCCGCCGCGGUGUACAGGGCAUACCGCAGCAUCUGCCGGGAGCUUACCAAGCUCCAUGAGCAGAUCCUUCGCAUGACGCUCGGCGAGGCCCUCGCCUACUACACGGAAAACGAUCCGCGCGGCGAGUACGUUCUGAUUCUGGAGGGCGCGGCCGAGGCCUCCGAGGAAGCAUUGACGCUGGAGGACGCCGUCUCGCUUGCGCUGGAGCGCAUCGCCUCCGGCGCGUCCAAAAAGGACGCCGUCCGCGAGGUCUCCCGCGAGACCGGCUUCCCAAAAAAUGCGCUCUAUGACGCCGUCCUGCGUAUGCAGGACGCAGAUUGAGCUUUCACCAGAAAGGAGACCGCCAUGGCGACCUCUCCCGAUUAUAUCACCUAUGUCUGCGACCAGCUGGCGGGCUUUCAGCCGCUCCGAUACCGGAAGAUGUUCGGAGAAUAUAUGGUCUAUCUCUCCGACCGGCCCAUUCUCACCGUCUGCGACAACACCGUAUACGUCAAAAUGUAUCCGGAGCUUGCGCAGCUGCUGGACGGCGCGCCGUGCGCCGCAUAUGCUGCCUAGAAAAGCUUCUAAGUAUAGGACACGCAAACCGUACCGGAAACCAACUCAGGUGGGUGGGAUGAAUAAUCCAAGGCGCUCGAGAGAACUCUGGCCAAGGAACUCGGCAAAAUAACCCCGUACCUUCGGAAGAAGGGGUGCUUUUUAGGGUGAAGCGAUUCACUCUGUCGAGCCCUGAAAAGCCGCAGAGAAAUGGUGGUGGCGACUGUUUACUAAAAACAUAGGUCUGUGCCAAGUCGUAUAGACGACGUAUACGGACUGACGCCUGCCCGGUGCUGGAAGGUUAAAAGGAGGAGUCAGCGCAAGCGAAGCUCCGAAUUGAAGCCCCAGUAAACGGCGGCCGUAACUAUAACGGUCCUAAGGUAGCGAAAUUCCUUGUCGGGUAAGUUCCGACCUGCACGAAUGGCGUAACGAUCUCCACACUGUCUCGGCCAGAGACUCGGUGAAAUUGAAGUCGCGGUGAAAAUGCCGUGUACCCGCAGAAAGACGGAAAGACCCUGUGCACCUUUACUAUAGCUUGACAUUGGGAUUUGAGCCUGCAUGUGUAGCAUAGGUGGGAGGCUGUGAACUCUGUACGCCAGUAUGGAGGGAGCCAACGUUGAAAUACCACCCUUGUUUGUUCAGGUCCCUAACUCUUCGCCGUUACCCGGUAAGAGGACAGUGUCUGGUGGGUAGUUUGACUGGGGCGGUCGCCUCCCAAAAUGUAACGGAGGCAUGCAAAGGUUCCCUCAGGCUGAUUGGAAACCAGCCGUCGAGUGCAAACGCAAAAGGGAGCUUGACUGCAAGAGAGACAUCUCGAGCAGGUACGAAAGUAGGUGUUAGUGAUCCGGUGAUCCCGAAUGGAAGGGUCAUCGCUCAUUGGAUAAAAGGUACGCCGGGGAUAACAGGCUGAUCGCAUCCAAGAGUUCACAUCGACGAUGCGGUUUGGCACCUCGAUGUCGGCUCAUCACAUCCUGGGGCUGAAGCAGGUCCCAAGGGUACGGCUGUUCGCCGUUUAAAGUGGUACGCGAGCUGGGUUUAAAACGUCGUGAGACAGUUUGGUCCCUAUCUUCUGUGGGCGUAGGAGAAUUGAAAGGGCCUGUCCCUAGUACGAGAGGACCGGGAUGGACACACCACUGGUGGACCUGUUGUCGUGCCAACGGCACAGCAGGGUAGCUAUGUGUGGAAGGGAUAACCGCUGAAAGCAUCUAAGCGGGAAGCCUGCCUUAAGAUAAGUUCUCCCUGACGCAAGUCCUGAAGGGCCGAGGUAGACGACCUCGUUGAUAGGCUGGAGGUGGAAGCCCUGUGAGGGGUGGAGCUGACCAGUACUAAUAGCCCGUGCGUCUUGUUUUU
RNAcentral lists this ribosomal RNA (2216 nucleotides) under human gut metagenome. Its description in RNAcentral is "bacterial LSU rRNA". The stretch from base 636 to 2216 matches the Rfam family "Bacterial large subunit ribosomal RNA". The record is from RNAcentral.